AAAAAAAAAAAAACAAAAUUCAGUACUUCGGUCAGCUGGUCCAGAGUAUGUGGAAAUCUAUGAUGCUCUUCUUUUAAAGUCUGCCUAUUUUGAGCUCUUUGUCUUGGUUCUGCGUUAUAUGAGUUUUGGGUGUUUGCACUUUUGAGGACCUGUUAAUGACAGUGAGCUCUUGUGGAGGGGGAGGUUUUGAAGAAUGUUCCUACAGCAUUCGAUUGCUGUGUGGUACAUAGCUAAUGUGGUACCAUUGGUUAGAACUGUAUAGCUUACACAUUUUCCAAUUAGAAGUUAACAUGUUGAACAAUUUCUUUUGACUGGCUAGAAGAUGAUACGGACAAUAUUAUUUUAGAUGCUCAAGAAUUUUAUUCACUUUGUUAAACAUGCACAAUACUGACUAAGCACGUGAUAUUUAUUUCUUAUAUGGGUUGGUUUCUUGAUUAUUAUAGCUGUCACUUCUGUUUCUCCUAGAACUUAUAUUCUUUUAGAUGUGAGUUCAUUCCUUUUGGUAUUGUCUUGGAGGAAUUGAUACAAGGAAAAUGGAUUGAUCUUACGUAUUGGAUUACUAAACUUAGUAUUUUGGAGUGGAUGUGUGCCAUGCUUCAGUCUGGCAAUCAGGUUGCAAAUCGUCUGGGUAUCAACUAAUGUGGUAGAGAUGCUGUUCUAGUCGCAGAACAAAGAAAAAUCAAGUGGAAAAACUUUGUUCACUUCCAGUGUAUAUCAACUAUAAUUUCUUUUUUACUGUAACUUUUACACAUACUCAGAGGGUUCUGAACCCAUGAGGUGCCUCAUCUAUAUUAGGAGGAAGAAGUGUCAUUUGAGCUAAACAUAAAUAUCUAUGAUUAACUCUUAAAUUAGACAUACGCUAGUCUUCUGAGUUCAUCAGUUGAUUGGACAGAUGACAGAUGUGCAAAUCACAAGGAUAGAUCACGAGUUUGUGCCAUCCAAGUUGAAUUGAUAGACAAGGAGCAGUGUGGGGAAUUUUAGAGAAAGGACUAUGAGUAGGGCUCUUACCUGCCAUCCAGAUGCUAGAAUGCUCUGUUUUCAUCUGAUACAAUGAUAUCAGACUGCUUAUUUACUGGAGUAAAACUUAGUCCUUAACUAACAAACCAACAAUCAUAAUCUCUCCCGUAAGUGUAAAACUAGCCAGCAUAGCGGUUGAAGCCUGAUUUUGCAUCAGGAUUCCCCUUAAGAAUCCUAGUCCUAACUAGAAUAUGACAUGUUCUAGAAUUUUCACCUAGAAACCCUCCUCUGCACCUGUGAGCACUUGAACUUCUUGGAAUUCUAAGUAUUAAUUUCAAGGUAAUUAGACUUCAGCUCCAUGGUCCCCAGAGGUAUGAAGAAAUUGGGCUAGCUGAUAUAGAGGCAUUUAGGGCUGUAAGUAGUAUUAUUAAAGAGCUUCCUCGAGAACUAAAAAUAGUAAGAAAUAGAUAUAGCAGACUCUAGGUGUUUUCAGCCCCCUUUCUGUGUUCAUCUACUUGUUCGUAUAUGGAACUUAGAGUAUAACAUCCUUAUUCUAACAUUGUAUUGUUCAGUCAAUACUUCAGCUCAAGCAUUGUUGAUUAUGAUUUCUUUACGGUGGAAAAGACUGCUUAUUGAAUAUUGCACGUUAUAUGUGACUAUCAUCUUGACUAACACUUCCUGCUAACUCUAGAAUCACAAACUCAAUUUUUGCUAUUAAGACUUCUAGGCACCUCUGCUUCUUCUUCUUUUUCCUGGG
RNAcentral lists this long non-coding RNA (1714 nucleotides) under Betula platyphylla (Asian white birch). Its description in RNAcentral is "salt induced long non-coding RNA 2". The record is from RNAcentral. Lineage: Eukaryota; Viridiplantae; Streptophyta; Magnoliopsida; Fagales; Betulaceae.